UGGUGGAGUGAUUUGUCUGGUUAAUUCCGAUAACGAACGAGACUCUGUCCUGCUAAAUAGUUCCAGCGUCGCUUGCUGCGCUGGAAAUUCUUCUUAGAGGGACUGGUGGCGUCUAGCCACACGGGAUUGAGCAAUAACA
This 139-nucleotide ribosomal RNA is filed under the name uncultured eukaryote. RNAcentral's name for it is "partial 18S ribosomal RNA". It matches the Rfam family "Eukaryotic small subunit ribosomal RNA", at positions 1299 to 1458 of the family's 1831-position model. The record is from RNAcentral.